Molecule: small nucleolar RNA, 64 nt
Organism: Anser brachyrhynchus (Pink-footed goose)
Lineage: Eukaryota; Metazoa; Chordata; Aves; Anseriformes; Anatidae
Source: Ensembl
GUACAGAUGAUGAGCUUUUGCAGUAUGAGGAGAAACAGUGAUACUGUAAACGCUUUCUGAUGUA